Molecule: ribosomal RNA, 494 nt
Filed under: uncultured bacterium
Lineage: Bacteria
Description: partial 16S ribosomal RNA
Rfam family: Bacterial small subunit ribosomal RNA
Source: RNAcentral
GACGAACGCUGGCGGCGUGCCUAAUACAUGCAAGUAGAACGCUGAAGGAGGAGCUUGCUCUUCUGGAUGAGUUGCGAACGGGUGAGUAACGCGUAGGUAACCUGCCUGGUAGCGGGGGAUAACUAUUGGAAACGAUAGCUAAUACCGCAUAACAGUAGAUGUUGCAUGACAUUUACUUAAAAGGUGCAAUUGCAUCACUACCAGAUGGACCUGCGUUGUAUAGCUAGUUGGUGGGGUAACGGCUCACCAAGGCGACGAUACAUAGCCGACCUGAGAGGGUGAUCGGCCACACUGGGACUGAGACACGGCCCAGACUCCUACGGGAGGCAGCAGUAGGGAAUCUUCGGCAAUGGACGGAAGUCUGACCGAGCAACGCCGCGUGAGGGAAGAAGGUUUUCGGAUCGUAAAGCUCUGUUGUAAGAGAAGAACGAGUGUGAGAGUGGAAAGUUCACACUGUGACGGUAUCUUACCAGAAAGGGACGGCUAACUACGUG